Molecule: transfer RNA, 84 nt
Filed under: Chlorobiota bacterium
Lineage: Bacteria; Pseudomonadati; Chlorobiota
Description: Chlorobi bacterium (hydrothermal vent metagenome) tRNA-Leu
Rfam family: tRNA
About the family: Transfer RNA (tRNA) molecules are approximately 80 nucleotides in length. Their secondary structure includes four short double-helical elements and three loops (D, anti-codon, and T loops). Further hydrogen bonds mediate the characteristic L-shaped molecular structure. tRNAs have two regions of fundamental functional importance: the anti-codon, which is responsible for specific mRNA codon recognition, and the 3' end, to which the tRNAs corresponding amino acid is attached (by aminoacyl-tRNA synthetases). tRNAs cope with the degeneracy of the genetic code in two manners: having more than one tRNA (with a specific anti-codon) for a particular amino acid; and 'wobble' base-pairing, i.e. permitting non-standard base-pairing at the 3rd anti-codon position.
Source: RNAcentral
GCCCGGGUGGCGGAAUUGGCAGACGCGCAUGAUUCAGGUUCAUGUGCCCUCACGGGCUUGCAGGUUCGACCCCUGUCCCGGGCA